GCUCACGUAGCUCAGUCGGUAGAGCACUUCCUUGGUAAGGAAGAGGUCAUGGGUUCGAUUCCCGUUGUGAGCACCA
Molecule: transfer RNA, 76 nt
Filed under: Lysobacterales bacterium
Lineage: Bacteria; Pseudomonadati; Pseudomonadota; Gammaproteobacteria; Lysobacterales
Also listed under: 1 other name
Description: tRNA-Thr
Rfam family: tRNA
About the family: Transfer RNA (tRNA) molecules are approximately 80 nucleotides in length. Their secondary structure includes four short double-helical elements and three loops (D, anti-codon, and T loops).
Source: RNAcentral